CAGAGGUCCCGAGCGUUGUUCGGAUUCACUGGGCGUAAAGGGUGCGUAGGUGGUGAGGUAAGUCGGAUGUGAAAUCUCCGGGCUCAACCCGGAAAUGGCAUUGGAAACUACCUUGCUGGAGGAUUUGAGGGGGGAUUGGAAUACUUGGUGUAGCAGUGAGAUGCGUAGAUAUCAAGUGGAACACCAGUGGCGAAGGCGAAUCCCUGGAAAAUACCUGACACUGAGGCACGAAAGCUAGGGGAGCAAACAGGAUUAGAUACCCUGGUAGUCCUAGCCCUAAACGGUGCUUGCUUGCUGUAAGAGGAAUCGACCCCUCUUGUGGCGGAGCUAACGCGUUAAGCAAGCCGCCUGGGAAGUACGGUCGCAAGAUUA
Molecule: ribosomal RNA, 372 nt
Filed under: uncultured organism
Description: bacterial SSU rRNA
Rfam family: Bacterial small subunit ribosomal RNA
Source: RNAcentral